Molecule: transfer RNA, 72 nt
Filed under: Phrynosoma platyrhinos (Desert horned lizard)
Lineage: Eukaryota; Metazoa; Chordata; Lepidosauria; Squamata; Phrynosomatidae
Description: tRNA-OTHER
Rfam family: tRNA
About the family: Transfer RNA (tRNA) molecules are approximately 80 nucleotides in length. Their secondary structure includes four short double-helical elements and three loops (D, anti-codon, and T loops).
Source: RNAcentral
GCCAAUGUGGUGUAGUGGUUUGAAUGUUGGACUACAACUCUGGAGACCAGGGUUCAAAUCCCUGCUCUGUCA